GUGGGGAAUAUUGGACAAUGGGCGAAAGCCUGAUCCAGCCAUGCCGCGUGUGUGAAGAAGGUCUUCGGAUUGUAAAGCACUUUAAGUUGGGAGGAAGGGCAGUAAGUUAAUACCUUGCUGUUUUGACGUUACCGACAGAAUAAGCACCGGCUAACUUCGUGCCAGCAGCCGCGGUAAUACGAAGGGUGCAAGCGUUAAUCGGAAUUACUGGACGUAAAGCGCGCGUAGGUGGUUUUGUAAGUUGGAGGUGAAAUCCCCGGGCUCAACCUGGGAACUGCCUCCAAAACUGCAUGACUAGAGUACGGUAGAGGGUAGUGGAAUUUCCUGUGUAGCGGUGAAAUGCGUAGAUAUAGGAAGGAACACCAGUGGCGAAGGCGACUACCUGGACUGAUACUGACACUGAGGUGCGAAAGCGUGGGGAGCAAACAGGAUUAGAUACCCCUGUAGUCC
This 450-nucleotide ribosomal RNA is filed under the name uncultured bacterium. Its description in RNAcentral is "partial 16S ribosomal RNA". It matches the Rfam family "Bacterial small subunit ribosomal RNA", at positions 354 to 796 of the family's 1533-position model. The record is from RNAcentral.